ACCAUCUGCACUAUUGUAUAAAGAUGCCUCAAUCAACUUGUAUGAAAGCGUCUCUUCUCAAAUAAGUACCUGUCAAGCAUUGGUUUGCAUUGAAGUUGUCUAAAAAUGUCAAUUUUUGACUAACAUUACAGAAAGUGAUGUGUUCUGCAAGCUUUAACGCCCUGUAAGAAAGCACAGCGCUUUGUGAGAGCUAUGAGUCACAUUGUGAUGCAAGUGUGAGUCAAUGCGAUGAAGAAAUUCUGUUCAGUCCAAGUUAUGUGUUCACGGGAGCAUCAGUGGCUCGCUUUCCCAAACGAAGCGCUCAAAAGAGGCAAAAGGAGAAAUGUGAUAUUGACGCAACAUCAGCGGUCGACAAGCUCGCCAGUGCCCGAAGGGGAUCAAUAGAAUCACAAUGGUGAACCUCGCUGGGAAUAGUUUGCACGUUAUCGGUCUGGAAACAAAAGAUGUAACGAUUUACACAUAGGCUCUCGUUUUUCAGAGACGGCACGAAAGUUGCUCACAAAUCCAUUUGCAAGUAAAGCAAACACAACACUUUUGAAAAAGGGAAGCUUCAAAUGUCACAAGGUAUUUGACAAACAUCCUAUCAUAUGACUUCAACCAGUAGGUGUCGGUAAUGCGCAUUGAAGCUGGUGCCCCCUCGCCGUAAAACAAAACAAAGAAGAAGAUGACGUAACUUCCUGUUUACGAACAGAAAGGAAAGAAAAGAACCACUCACUGAAACAUCACUUCUUUUAUGCACGUUUUCUCCAAGCUAACGUUAUGCGCCGUUAUGCUAAAACAAGGAGAUUAUGCUUCUCUUUGGGUGAUCUCUAUUUUAUAACAUCUAUAGUAGUUUUUAAAUAGCGUGUAUGCAUAUAUACGCCUGAAUGUUGUUAUUCAAUAUAUCUACUGCAAUUUCACAUUAGAUUUCUGGUUUGAAAUGUACUUUUAUUAUUAUUCAUUAUUGUUAUUAUUCUAAUAAACAUUUAUGUUAAAACUU
Molecule: long non-coding RNA, 979 nt
Organism: Syngnathus typhle (broad-nosed pipefish)
Lineage: Eukaryota; Metazoa; Chordata; Actinopteri; Syngnathiformes; Syngnathidae
Exons: 2
Source: RefSeq, a predicted model, not a curated record